RNAcentral lists this long non-coding RNA (262 nucleotides) under Ananas comosus (pineapple). Its description in RNAcentral is "long non-coding RNA (ACOM_LNC032789)". Lineage: Eukaryota; Viridiplantae; Streptophyta; Magnoliopsida; Poales; Bromeliaceae. The record is from RNAcentral.
UGUGGGAAACGAUUUUAAAAAAGAUUUUCUGCUUUUCAUGAUUCUAGUAUUUCAAAAUAAGUUUCUGGGUGGAAAAUAUUUUAAAUUAAUAGAUGUGGAUUUACGAAUGAAACAUUGUAAUUUUGUGAUGUAGUAAAUGUAUAUGGUUUGUAUAUGUUUGUGGUUGUACUUGUACUCGUGCGACGCCGUGCAAAUAUAGGGAAGACGCUGUCCGUGUGAAUAGUAGAUUUUCUGUAUUUAUAGCGGGUCUGUCAUCCCUUGG